UGCNAGUCGAACGGUGAAAGAGGAGCUUGCUCCUCUGGAUCAGUGGCGAACGGGUGAGUAACACGUGAGCAAUCUGCCCUGGACUCUGGGAUAAGCGUUGGAAACGACGUCUAAUACCGGAUACGCGACGCGAAGGCAUCUUCAGCGUCGGGAAAGAACUUCGGUCCAGGAUGAGCUCGCGGCCUAUCAGCUAGUUGGUGAGGUAACGGCCCACCAAGGCGACGACGGGUAGCCGGCCUGAGAGGGUGACCGGCCACACUGGGACUGAGACACGGCCCAGACUCCUACGGGAGGCAGCAGUGGGGAAUAUUGCACAAUGGGCGCAAGCCUGAUGCAGCAACGCCGCGUGAGGGACGACGGCCUUCGGGUUGUAAACCUCUUUUAGUAGGGAAGAAGCGAAAGUGACGGUACCUGCAGAAAAAGCACCGGCUAACUACGUGCCAGCAGCCGCGGUAAUACGUAGGGUGCAAGCGUUAUCCGGAAUUAUUGGGCGUAAAGAGCUCGUAGGCGGUUUGUCGCGUCUGCUGUGAAAACUGGAGGCUCAACCUCCAGCCUGCAGUGGGUACGGGCAAACUAGAGUGCGGUAGGGGAGAUUGGAAUUCCUGGUGUAGCGGUGGAAUGCGCAGAUAUCAGGAGGAACACCGAUGGCGAAGGCAGAUCUCUGGGCCGUAACUGACGCUGAGGAGCGAAAGCAUGGGGAGCGAACAGGAUUAGAUACCCUGGUAGUCCAUGCCGUAAACGUUGGGCGCUAGAUGUGGGGACCAUUCCACGGUUUCCGUGUCGCAGCUAACGCAUUAAGCGCCCCGCCUGGGGAGUACGGNCGCAAGGCUAAAACUCAAAGGAAUUGACGGGGGCCCGCACAAGCGGCGGAGCAUGCGGAUUAAUUCGAUGCAACGCGAAGAACCUUACCAAGGCUUGACAUUUACNAGAACGCUGCANAAAUGNANAACUCUUUNGACACUCGUAAACGGGGGUGCAUGGNUGUCGUCAGCUCNUGNCNUGAGAUGUUNGGUUAAUUCCCCCACNAGCGCANCCCUCNUUCU
RNAcentral lists this ribosomal RNA (1043 nucleotides) under Leifsonia sp. URHE0078. RNAcentral's name for it is "bacterial SSU rRNA". It matches the Rfam family "Bacterial small subunit ribosomal RNA", at positions 56 to 1111 of the family's 1533-position model. The record is from RNAcentral. Lineage: Bacteria; Bacillati; Actinomycetota; Actinomycetes; Micrococcales; Microbacteriaceae.